UUACCAGUCAGUCUCUGGCUAUAUUCCAGGACUCAGUAGAUCCUGGAUAUAGUCAGAGGCUGACUGUAAA
Non-coding RNA from Cricetulus griseus (Chinese hamster), 70 nucleotides. Lineage: Eukaryota; Metazoa; Chordata; Mammalia; Rodentia; Cricetidae. The record is from Rfam.